CGCACCUGCCAGAGACCAAGCACAGACGGGGCGGGUAUCAGCACACUGUGGAGGGUGCGGUCUCCUCCUAUGGAGGAGGGGGCAGGCCCAGAGGAGGAGCUUGGGCAGGGAGCAUGGGGAGGGCGCAGUGCUCCUGGGUCCCUGCUUGCUUCAAGCUGAGGAGAAGCUGGGAGCUACCCUUCACCAAACACUUACCCAUGUGCCCAGCCCUGUGCCAAGCACUGUCUUCUUAACCCUCAACAACCUUCCAUGAGGAAGGCACCCUGAUUAUUCUUGUGAAGAUUAGGAAACUGAGGCCCAGAGAGGUGAAGAAGCUUGCCUGUGGUCACACGGCCAGUCGGUGACAGAGCCACAUUUGAACCUAAUCACACUCCAUGCAAUCAUGCCUCUGAUUACCCUAAGACAGCAGUCUCCAAACAGGGGAGUACCGCUAGACGCACGUGAGGCCUGAGUACUGACGGUUUUAAAGAAAUCCAUUUUCAGCCUCCAGGUCUACAUUGCCUUAAAAUUAUUUUUGUGAGGCAGUGGCUGAGAUCUGCUUCUCUGGCCACAACACAUCUUGCUCAUUCUAAAUCCUCAUAAAGUGCUUUGCUGCCAGGUAAAAGUAUUCUGAGGACAUGAAAAAAAGAACAAUUUGAGAUAUUGAUGUAGGUCUUGAGAAAGAAAAUAUGGCUAAUGACUGGGUAACCAAGGCUUUCAACAAAACUGAAGAACAGCUUAACCAAAUUGUCAGCCAGGAUAUCAUGAGAAGUAAUUUGUUCUUAGCAGAGCACCUUGAGAUUUCUGGCAAAUAACUUGGAAGGAAGGAGUUCAAGUAAUUGAGUGACAUCUAGUCUCAUUUACUUAUUUAUGUGAACAUGGUUUCUCAACCUUCUCAUCAAUAAAAAAAUGAUAAACAGGAAUUAAAUUAAUGCAGAAUCCUGUCUCAGUCUGGCAGGAAGUAACAUUCAUUAAUGGAUUCAUUCACUAAUUGAAACGAGGUAGCCACAUCCAUCUCAUUGAGAUGCAUUCCCAAUCAAAUUGAUUGUAUUUUUAUGUUGAACAUCUAUUAAAAUAGGAAGUAUUUGUGCUGUUUUGACCAAAUGGUGCUACUAAGAAUUAUUUUGAUAAUUUAUUCCAGGAGAAAAUUUAAUUUAGGUUUAUGCUCACAGGAAAUUUAAAAUAAUUCAAACUCAUAUAUCAUUUUUUUGUGGCAGAUAAAUAUGACAAGGUAAUCAAUAAAAGACUUCUGAAAAUUAAAAGUACUGUUACACUAGGCUGAAAUUCUUGGGGGUGGGGAGUGAAAUGGAAAUACAAGUUCCAGGAAAAAAGAAACAAUGUAAAUAUAUAAUUAUGAAAGGAAGUGUUCCUGUAUUUUUUUUUUUUUUGCUUGUUAAUUUUCUUUUUUUUUUUUUGAGACGGAGUCUUGCUCUGUCCCAGGCUGGAGUGCAGUGGCGUGAUCUCGGCUCACUGCAAGUUCCGCCUCCCGGGUUCAUGCCAUUCUCCUGCCUCAGCCUCCCGAGUAGCUGGGACUAUAGGCACCCACCACCACACCCGGCUAAUUUUUUGUAUUUUUAGUACAGAUGGGGUUUCACCAUGUUAGCCAGGAUGGUCUCGAUCUCCUAACCUUGCGAUCCGCCCGCCUUGGCCUCCAAAAGUGCUGGGAUUACAGGUGUGAGCCACCGCGCCUGGCCUGCUUGUUCAUUUUCUUAAAAGUGGAUGAUGGAGAUUCCCGAGUGAAAUGUCUGAAGACUGCUGCCUUGGGAACAGGAGCCACGGGACACUUUCUGCCUCCGGCUGCCGGCGGGUAACUCGGGCCUGGAUGGACUUCCCUGCCAGCUUGUUUCCCAAAUUGCCGCGCGGGCCCAGAAAAGAGAUGAGAGCAUAAACCCCUAGGGGGCGCAGUCCCCAGGAUCCCUGUCUUCAUGGAGUGGGGCUCAUGGGGUCAGGGCUUGGGUCAACUCCACUCCAUAGCACGAAAUGACUUCCUGGAGUCACGUGCGUGGGGGAGGCUUAGCCCCUGAAGGAGAGCCACCUCUCUUCAGUGACUGAUUGACUGUGCACGUGAAAUAUUUUAUUUUUUCUAUUUACUCUCACAGAUUUGGGUUUUCCCUCCUCUCAUCCUUCUCUCCCAGCCACACUCAGGCCUGGGGCUCCAUUCUGCUGCCCACAAGGUACGAAGUGGGUUAGAAGCAGCAAGGGGACCCACAGGCAAAAAUACUCCUGGGAGACAGUGGCGAGGGGCACAUGUUCCCCGGGGCUACUAGGAAGUGGCCCCAGAUAACGUCUCAGCUGAUGACAGACUUUUAAUCACUAAAAGGUAAACACUAAUGUGCAGGAAUCCUGUUUGUUUGCUCACAGAUGUACCUGACACACAGUAAGUGCUCAGUAAAUGUUUGUAGAGUGACUGAAUGUUUGCUGGACCUCCUGCCCCUCAUUCUACACAGAGAAAAGCUAGGCUGACAAAGGUGAAAUGAUUUGUUGAAGGUCAAUGGAAACCUAGGGCUAAGCCGGGACAAAAACCAAGGUCCACUGAUGCUUCCUGGGCCCUAGAGUCUUGAGGAGGUGCAGCUCCCUGUUCUGCCCCCAAGACUGGCCUCAGUCCUGCCUCUCCCCCUCCCCAACCUAACCCUGGCGGCAAGGCGGGGCUCCCCUCGGGCCCAGCCUCCUCGCCAUCCCUGGGACCCCGCACACUCACAGGUGGCAGUCUGUGGGUCUCUGCUUCUCUCUCCUCCUCUUCCCCCUGCCCUUGGGUCUCCUCCUGCAAUAAGCCAAGCGUCAGGACAAGGUGGCUGGGGAACCCCAUGCUAGGACAGAGGCUGGCAGGCCCGAGAAUAGCCCCGAGCCCCAGCCAAACCACUUACCUUUCCGGCUUCAUCUUCUCCCGCAGAGGCCUAGGGAAACAGACAGAGAGAGGGGCAGAGGAACGUUAGGAAAGCAAUAAGUGGGGCUCCCUGCCGCCCGGACAGGUCCCCUCCGACAUCCCCAGUCCUGGUCCUGCAGCUGACACUGAGGCCACUAGGGGGUAGCAUGGAGUUGGCAAGGGAGAGGUGGCCAGAGCCUCAAGGCUUCACUCCCACUCCAGGCUCUGGUGACCCCACCACGAGAGGGACAAAUCAACCUCCUGGGGACCCCUGCCACCCGCUUCUGCACUUCUCAGCCUCUUGGCAUCAAAUUUGGUUGUUUCUGUCUGUUCUCUGUUGCUUUUUCUUUCUCACUUUCUUUGCUGCUUUUUUCCGUUCCUUCCAGGGUGCAUUCUGGGAAUUUCCUCAGGGACAGGAGAUGAUGGCCAGACAGCGGACUGGCUGCCUGUCAGGGCACAGCCCCACUCCAUCCGGAACAACAUGGGGAGUGAGCGACGGGGUGGGAGGAAGGAGGGAGCAUCAGCCCUGAAGUCACCAGGCAUGUCUGGGCUCUGCCUCCCAGGGCUGUGGCUGUUGGCCCAGAAGCAAGAAGAAAGGUGUCCCUGUUGCCUGGCCCCUGGCAGGGGAUAGGGCCUCAGUCUUCACUGGGAACAGUGGGUAGAGACAUGGGACAGCAUGGUAGCAGUCAGCUUUGGGGCCAGGACAUGCUACCCUCAGCUGGUUCCUCCCUUGGGAGCCAGGGCAAGGUACCAGGGCCUCUUGGGACUGUCUGGUUGUACCUCUCCAUAUUGGGCAAGUGACAGACACUCUUGGAACCUCAGUCUCUUCAUCUGCCUGCCCCAAAAGAGUGGCUGUCAGGGCAAAGGGGAUGGAGAAGGUGACUCUGGGUCACCACCCAGCAUUGCACCCAGGAGGGUUCAUUACCGAGCUCUUGUUAUAUGGCUAAGCUCUGGCUUGGAGGGAUGGGUGGAAACAAGUUGAGGCAGGGUCUCCAACACUCCAACAAAAGGGGCAGCCAUAGCCCUGCCCAGGAGGCAAGGCUAAGCCUGGGGGCUAUUAGAAAAGUGGUCAUGGCCAUGAAAGGUAGCCUGAAAAACGAAGGCUUACGAGUUAGGUCAGGGCCCAGAAUCCCUCCUCCCACACUCACUAGCUGUGAUAAAUCAUGAAACUGUAUUGAGCCUUGAUUUUCUCAUCUGUAAAAUGGGGAUGACAAUAGGGCCUACCUCCCAGGGUUGUUAUGAGAGCAGGAACCUUGCUCACCACUGCAUCCCAUCAGGACAAUGCCUGGCAUGUGGUAGGUGCUCAAUAAAUGUAUGUGACUAAAUGAGAAACAUUCAAGUGCCUCCUGCGGGGCUAGGCACAGAAUAGGUACACAAUAAGUGGUAGUCUUCCCUCCUGCCGCCCCUGGCUAGGGCUCUGGACUUCUAGUCUGGUGCCUUCAUCCAUGGCCCAGUAGUACCAGGAGCAGCAGCUCAGCCCAUUUCUCUCUUCCCUGAACCUAGCUGGCAGUGCCAGGCCUGUUGCUCCUGCUAACCAAUGUUCCAAGUGCCCCCAGCACAGGCAGCAAGACUGGUGCUGGUCAGAGGCUCUGUGGAUUGGGAGGGGCCGUAGAGGGGUGCUGCAACAUCAAGGAAGCCACAGUGUCACUCUUCUUCUGCCCCUUUUCUCCUACCCGAGCUUGUCCUUCUUGCUGCUUCUCAGCCCCGUUUGCCCGCUCCUGUGGGCACACAGCUUGCCCCAGAACGAAGUUCAGACUUGCAAUGUCUUUGCCUCCAGGCACCUCUUUCAGAGGCCCGUGGCAGCUGCCUCCCAUCCCAGAGAAGGGGAACGACACGCACCGAACCCCUGCGAGGCUGGGAGGGACCCACCCUCUCUCUUCCCUUGCAGUAUCUCAACAGCUGUACCCCAGCUGCUGGGACCAGCUCCCUUGGCAAAACUGGCUGGUGGGGGGACAAAAUGAAUGGUAGCCACCCCUGGUCCUGCCCUCUUGGUCUCCCUCAGUCUGGAAAAAAGUUCAGCCCGCAGCGGGGAUGGGCAGCCUUUGCCUCUGCCCUGGGACCCAUCUUUGCUGAGGCUGCCAAGAGGACGGGGGCCUUUCCUUGCUACCCACCCGACCCCGGAGACCUACCGGCAUUCGCAGCGAACGUGCUGAGAGAACGUCAGCUCCACGUAGGAGGGCCGGUCCCCAGAACGGAUCUUUAGGAGCUGAAGGAAGAAAGAGUUGAUGCCUGGAUUGGGGAGUGGCCCACGAGUUUCCGGCACUCUUCUCUCUCUCCUUGUAAGGAGAACCCGACUCUGUUUCCUGCUAGCCUGUGGACUACAGGCCCUCACUCCACUCUGAACGUGGGGCAAACAGCUCUCUCAGCUGCAUGGGGAUCUGAGGGAGGCCCCUGUCCCUCCCUGCCCGGGAGCACUAGCACAGCAAUAGCACAGGAAGGGGGCUCAUGUUCUGGAGUCAGAGAGACCCGUGUUCAGAUCUUGACUCUUUUACCUGCUGAACAAGUGAAAUAACAUCUCUGAACCUUGAGUUCCCCAUCCGUGAAAUGGGAAUGACACCAGCCUUGAAGGAUUGAAUGACACACCACUUGUGGCACGCCUAGGACAGUGCUUGGCAUUACUCAGUACCUUCUAGUGGGCAGAUUCGGUGGCCCCCUGGGCAGGGUAUGGACCUACCUGCAUGGUGACAUUGGCCGUCUCCACCGGCACACAGUGCAGAUUCUCAUCGCCGCAGCAGCCGGUGCAGCGCAGCAGGGAGACACAGGAUGGGCUGAACAUGUGCUCCACCUCGCUGGGGUACUCGGACACGACGUCCACCAGCCUCUCCAGCGCCCGGCAGUAGCUGCGGCCCCACACUUCCUGGAAGGGUACCACUGCGAGGAAGCAAGGGGGCUGGGUCAGGCCAGCAGAGACCUGCCCCUUGAAGCCCUAAACCUGGCUCCCAAGGCCCUGCUGGCCUUCCAGGUUCAGCCCCCAGCCCCAUCCGAGCUCCCUCAACUCUGAACUCCUAAUGUGAUCCCUCCGAAAUGCCUGCGGGCCCCUUAGCUCAUCUGCUGGAUGGAAAUCCCCAUGGAACAGAAUCUCUCAGGGUCCCAAGCUUUGCUCUGUCCUCAACUCAGGCACCCACGUCUGCCUUGGCUCCCUGGAGCUUUGAGGAUUGUAGCCCCGGCAGCUACCCAGGCCCUCUGGAUCUUUCUCAAGCCUGACCCGGUGCUUCCUCCAACUUGGAGAACUUGCAGAAAACAGUCAUUCCUGGAGUCAUGCAGGGAGGGUUGGCCUUCCCUUAUUCCUCUGCUCAAACACCUUCCACGGCUCCCUCAUUUCCUGCCCCACUCUGUGCCAGCUCCUCUGCCUGGCAACCAAGACCACAUCCAGCAAUGUGGCCCGACCCUCCUCUCCACUGAGUCCAACCAGCGCUCACACUGAGCCACGGCAGCACCACAUUCACUCCCAGCUCUGGCUUGUGCACUCUGCAGCCCGUACAGCUGCUCUUCUUCCCCCUCCUCUCAUUUCUAUCCAAAUAAAGUCCACCCGCCAUUUUCCACGA
Homo sapiens (human) is the source of this 6387-nucleotide long non-coding RNA. RefSeq lists it as uncharacterized. The transcript is spliced from 3 exons. Lineage: Eukaryota; Metazoa; Chordata; Mammalia; Primates; Hominidae. The record is from RefSeq and is a predicted model, not a curated record.